Molecule: ribosomal RNA, 253 nt
Filed under: uncultured bacterium
Lineage: Bacteria
Description: partial 16S ribosomal RNA
Rfam family: Bacterial small subunit ribosomal RNA
Source: RNAcentral
UACGGAGGGUGCAAGCGUUAUCCGGAUUCACUGGGUUUAAAGGGUGCGUAGGUGGGUCUGUAAGUCAGUGGUGAAAUCUCCGAGCUUAACUCGGAAACUGCCGUGGAUACUAUCAAUCUUGAAUACUGUGGAGGUAAGCGGAAUAUGUCAUGUAGCGGUGAAAUGCUUAGAUAUGACAUAGAACACCGAUAGCGGAGGCAGCUUGCUACACAGUCAUUGACACUGAGGCACGAAAGCGUGGGGAUCAAACAGG